GUAGGGAAUAUUGGGCAAUGGGCGGAAGCCUGACCCAGCCAUGCCGCGUGCAGGAUGAAGGCCUUCUGGGUUGUAAACUGCUUUUAUCAGGGAAGAAAACACCCAUGCGUGGGGAACUGACGGUACCUGAGGAAUAAGCACCGGCUAACUCCGUGCCAGCAGCCGCGGUAAUACGGAGGGUGCAAGCGUUGUCCGGAUUUAUUGGGUUUAAAGGGUGCGUAGGCGGCCCAUUAAGUCAGUGGUGAAAGCCCGGGGCUCAACCCCGGAACCGCCAUUGAUACUGGUGGGCUUGAGUAUGGACGAGGUUGGCGGAAUUGAGGGUGUAGCGGUGAAAUGCUUAGAUACCCUCAAGAACACCGAUUGCGUAGGCAGCUAACUAGGCCAUAACUGACGCUGAGGCACGAAAGCGUGGGGAGCGAACAGGAUUAGAAACCCCUGUAGUCC
Molecule: ribosomal RNA, 444 nt
Filed under: uncultured bacterium
Lineage: Bacteria
Description: bacterial SSU rRNA
Rfam family: Bacterial small subunit ribosomal RNA
Source: RNAcentral